GACGAACGCUGGCGGCGUGCUUAACACAUGCAAGUCGAGCGGUAAGGCCCUUUCGGGGGUACGACGAGCGGCGAACGGGUGAGUAACACGUGGGUGGACCUGCCCUCCAGCUCUGGGAUAAGCCUGGGAAACCGGGUCUAAUACUGGAUAUGACUCCAUGACGCAUGUUGUGGGGUGGAAAGCCUUGUGCGGCUGAGGAUGGGCCCGCGGCCUAUCAGCUUGUUGGUGGGGUGAUGGCCUACCAAGGCGACGACGGGUAGCCGGCCUGAGAGGGCGACCGGCCACACUGGGACUGAGACACGGCCCAGACUCCUACGGGAGGCAGCAGUGGGGAAUCUUGCGCAAUGGGCGAAAGCCUGACGCAGCGACGCCGCGUGAGGGAUGACGGCCU
This 391-nucleotide ribosomal RNA is filed under the name uncultured bacterium. RNAcentral describes it as "bacterial SSU rRNA". It matches the Rfam family "Bacterial small subunit ribosomal RNA", at positions 28 to 417 of the family's 1533-position model. The record is from RNAcentral.